UACAGAGGGUGCGAGCGUUAAUCGGAAUUACUGGGCGUAAAGCGCACGUAGGCGGCUUGGUAUGUCGGGUGUGAAAUCCCCGGGCUCAACCUGGGAACUGCAUCCGAAACUGCCUUGCUCGAGUAUGGGAGAGGGAAGUGGAAUUUCCGGUGUAGUGGUGAAAUGCGUAGAUAUCGGGAGGAACACCAGUGGCGAAGGCGACUACCUGGCCUGUUCUUGACGCUGAGGCGCGAAAGCUAGGGGAGCAAACGGG
RNAcentral lists this ribosomal RNA (253 nucleotides) under uncultured bacterium. RNAcentral describes it as "partial 16S ribosomal RNA". It matches the Rfam family "Bacterial small subunit ribosomal RNA", at positions 524 to 776 of the family's 1533-position model. The record is from RNAcentral.